AGUGGAUGGGGAGCAACCUAGUUGUGCGUGUGUAAAGGUAGUGCCAAGAAAAGCGGUGAUCAUGAUGAAAAUCAAUUCCCGGUACCCGAAACCGACACAGGUGGGCAAGUAGAGAAUACUAAGGGGCGCGAGGUAACUCUCUCCAAGGAACUCGGCAAAAUGACCCCGUAACUUAGGGAGAAGGGGUGCCACCGAGAGGUGGUCGCAGUGAAGAGGCCCAGGCGACUGUUUAGCAAAAACAUAGGUCUCUGCAAACUCGAAAGAGGAGGUAUAGGGGCUGACGCCUGCCCAGUGCCGGAAGGUUAAAGAAGUUGGUCAGUCUUAGGAUAAAGCUAGCGACUGAAGCCCCGGUGAACGGCGGCCGUAACUAUAACGGUCCUAAGGUAGCGAAAUUCCUUGUCGGGUAAGUUACGACCCGCACGAAAGGCGUAACGAUCUGGGCGCUGUCUCGGAGAGAGGCUCGGCGAAAUAGGAUUGUCUGUGAAGAUACGGACUACCUGCAUUUGGUCAGAAAGACCCUAUGAAGCUUUACUAUAGCUUGGAAUUGUGUUCGGGCUUCCUGUGCGCAGGAUAGGUGGGAGGCGUAGAAGGUAUUCUUGUGGGGAUACUGGAGCCAACGGUGAGAUACCACUCUCAGGAGGCUAGAAUUCUAACUUAAUUAAGGACAGUUUCAGGUGGGUAGUUUGACUGGGGCGGUCGCCUCCAAAAAGGUAACGGAGGCGUACAAAGGUUCCCUCAGACUGGUUGGAAAUCAGUCGAAGAGUGCAAAGGCAGAAGGGAGCUUGACUGCGAGAAGUACAGUUCGAGCAGGGUGGAAACACGGUCUUAGUGAUCCGACGGUGCUGUGUGGAAGGGCCGUCGCUCAACGGAUAAAAGUUACUCUAGGAUAACAGGCUGAUCUCCCCCAAGAGUUCACAUCGACGGGGAGGUUUGGCACCUCGAUGUCGGCUCAUCGCAACCUGGGGCGGAAGUACGUCCCAAGGGUUGGGCUGUUCGCCCAUUAAAGCGGUACGUGAGCUGGGUUCAGAACGUCGUGAGACAGUUCGGUCCAUAUCCGAUGUAGGCGUGAGAAUAUUGAGAGGAGCCUUCCUUAGUACGAGAGGACCGGGAAGGACGCACCGCUGGUGUACCUGUUAUGAUGCCAAUUGUAAACGCAGGGUAGCCAAGUGCGGAGAGGAUAACCGCUGAAAGCAUCUAAGUGGGAAGCCCACCUCAAGAUGAGUAUUCUGGUGUAAGGUCACGGGAAGACGACCCGUAAAUAGGCACGAGGUGGAAGUGCAGAGAUGUAUGAAGCCGAAGUGUACUAAUAGACCGUCGGC
Molecule: ribosomal RNA, 1319 nt
Filed under: metagenome
Description: bacterial LSU rRNA
Rfam family: Bacterial large subunit ribosomal RNA
Source: RNAcentral